CCUUGCCAUACGUCCGGGUUUUGCCGAUUCCGCAAAAAACACCCCAUUUCCCUGCCCGUUUUGCGGAUGUGACAGGAAAACCCGGACGAAUGGCAGCCGUAGUUUGGGGUGCCUUGGCGGGAGUUUUCUGGGAGAGAGAGAUGAAUUAUUAUGAUUAUGCGGCUUAUUGAAUUUAUACAGCACCACCCUUCACCCAAACUUGGCAGGGGGCGGUUUGCAGCACAAGAAAUUAGGAAAAGCACAGAAUACAGAGCGGAGAAAUGCAUUUGUAAAGCCAGCUCUGGAUCUUUUCUAAAUAAAUAGAAUAAAACUGCUUAACCCACUGAAAGAUAUAUUUGAAAAAUGCCCGUUAAAGGGGAAUAAUGCCAAUUGUUAAGUAUGAUAGCUACAGUAACAGGGUCAUGUCCUCCAUUGUGACAUGUCUACCUGCUGAGUGACUUGGCUGAUAAUUUAGGAAGAGCAACUAUUUGAGGAUAGUUCAAAGAAAAGAGGUUGUUUACAUGAAUUGUGUCUUCUGAAAAAUGAAAAUUUCAUCUCACCUGUAAGUAGGAUCUCUUAUUCUUUCCGCAUUCUGCUUCUUUGGCUAUCCCUUAAGAUUUAGAAACAUAGGGAAUCAGGUCGUGGUUAGAUUUAUUUUUGAAGGUGGUCCUCAGGGCCACCUUAGAUGCUUUGAGGGAAAUGGCUUGCCUUCCCCCUUGUGGGCGUCGUCGCAAGAAGGACAUCUCCCAGUUUUGAAGGGUCCUUUGACAAGAUCCUCUCCUCCGUGGGUUCAACUGCUUGCUGUACUCUCCAACAGAGGUUUCUGAAAGUUUCAAAGGCUACAUGGGCUGCUGGUCUCCUGCUGUCGCAUGCCAAAGAUCAAUCCCCUGGUCUGUAAGGAGGAGGAGGAGGAGGUAGAAAUAUUGCCACAUCAAUGGGAUGAUGAAGUAAAUGUAAUUAAAAAAUGAGAAGGAGGAGUUAAUGCAGAUAAGAACCAUAUAUGUAAGACUGUGUAACCAGGGAAUGGACGCCACCGAUGCCAACGUGGAUGGUUUCAAAGGCUACAUGGGCUGCUGGUCUCCUGCUGUCGCAUGCCAAAGAUCAAUCCCCUGGUCUGUGAGGAGGAGGAGGAGGAGGUAGCAAUGUUGCCACAUCAAUGGGAUGAUGAAGUAAAUGUAAUUAAAAAUGAGAAGGAGGAGUUAAUGCAGAUAAGAACCAUAUAGGUAAGACUGUACGACCAGGUAAUGGAUGCCACUGAUGCCAACAUGGAUGGUUUCAAAGGCUACAUGGGCUGCUGGUCUCCUGCUGUCGCAUGCCAAAGAUCAAUCCCCUGGUCUGUGAGGAGGAGGAGGAGUAGCAAUAUUGCCACAUCAAUGGGAUGAUGAAGUAAAUGUAAUUAAAAAUGAGAAGGAGAACUUAAUGCAGAUAAGAACCAUAUAUGUAAGACUGUACGACCAGGGAAUGGAUGCCACUGAGGCCAACAUGGAUGGUUUCAAAGGCUACAUGGGCUGUUGGUCUCCUGCUGUCGCAUGCCAAAGAUCAAUCCCCUGGUCUGUGAGGAGAAGGAGGUAGAAAUAUCUCCACA
Lacerta agilis (Sand lizard) is the source of this 1564-nucleotide long non-coding RNA. RefSeq lists it as uncharacterized. Lineage: Eukaryota; Metazoa; Chordata; Lepidosauria; Squamata; Lacertidae. The record is from RefSeq and is a predicted model, not a curated record. The transcript has 5 exons.